UUUGGCAGCAAACACAUUCAAGCAUCUUCUAUGUGCCAAGAACUUGCUGGAAAACAUCACAAAAGUUAAUAUUUUCUGGAGAUCAAGGAAUGAAACUCAGCCCUCUGCAAAUGGAACACAAACGCCUGGUACAUGGAUGCUACAAUGAAAAGAAUAUGGGUGCUGAAAUCAGAGAGAAUCAUCCAAGUUUGAGCUCUGUCAAUGGGACAGUCCUGGGCAGGAGACUGGGGAGAAGAGGCGGCUUGCUGGUUUUCCUGAACCACUUCCACCCUGAAAGACUCCUUGCAUACAAUCAUCAGAGAAGAACCGUGGGAACCAAGAACCAUGAGCAGGAGAACCAUGAGCAGUAAGCACCUACAGGGACUGUGGAAAUGGGAGAGACACUUGGACAGAAAAGCAGCUGAAGAUGGGAUGAGAAAGCAGACAAAGGAGGGAAGUGCUUCUGAACAGAGUGCCAG
This 458-nucleotide long non-coding RNA is filed under the name Homo sapiens (human). Its description in RNAcentral is "non-protein coding lnc-FAT3-2:2". Lineage: Eukaryota; Metazoa; Chordata; Mammalia; Primates; Hominidae. The record is from RNAcentral.